This 83-nucleotide transfer RNA is filed under the name Nanobdellota archaeon. RNAcentral describes it as "tRNA-Ser". It matches the Rfam family "tRNA". Rfam says of the family: Transfer RNA (tRNA) molecules are approximately 80 nucleotides in length. Their secondary structure includes four short double-helical elements and three loops (D, anti-codon, and T loops). Further hydrogen bonds mediate the characteristic L-shaped molecular structure. tRNAs have two regions of fundamental functional importance: the anti-codon, which is responsible for specific mRNA codon recognition, and the 3' end, to which the tRNAs corresponding amino acid is attached (by aminoacyl-tRNA synthetases). tRNAs cope with the degeneracy of the genetic code in two manners: having more than one tRNA (with a specific anti-codon) for a particular amino acid; and 'wobble' base-pairing, i.e. permitting non-standard base-pairing at the 3rd anti-codon position. The record is from RNAcentral. Lineage: Archaea; Nanobdellati; Nanobdellota.
GCUGGGAUCGCAUAAUUCGGUAUUGCGCAAGCCUGGAAAGCUUGUCCCAUUAGGGAUUCUGGGUUCAAAUCCCAGUCCCAGCG